GGAUGUGAGGGCAAUCUGGCUGCAACAUAUCAUACCCAUUGAUCGUCAGGUUUGACCCGGCUGAUAUGGCUGGUCAGCUGUGUCUCUUCUUCCUCACUGCUCCACGUGUGCCCUGGGUUGCUGGGGGUGGUGGGGGUACAGGACUACACAAAGGACAUCCACCCCCAAUAGGGGAGGCAAAUUUCCUUUGUCAAGGGUAUAUAGUAGCUCUGCUUCCCUGCUAGAACCUCCAAAGGAGCUCACAAGAAUGUGAAUGUAACUGCG
Fukomys damarensis (Damara mole-rat) is the source of this 264-nucleotide non-coding RNA. Lineage: Eukaryota; Metazoa; Chordata; Mammalia; Rodentia; Bathyergidae. The record is from Rfam.